Molecule: ribosomal RNA, 280 nt
Filed under: uncultured bacterium
Lineage: Bacteria
Description: partial 16S ribosomal RNA
Rfam family: Bacterial small subunit ribosomal RNA
Source: RNAcentral
AUUGAACGCUGGCGGCAGGCCUAACACAUGCAAGUCGAACGGUAGCACAGAGGAGCUUGCUCCUUGGGUGACGAGUGGCGGACGGGUGAGUAAUGUCUGGGAAACUGCCUGAUGGAGGGGGAUAACUACUGGAAACGGUAGCUAAUACCGCAUAAUGUCGCAAGACCAAAGCGGGGGACCUUCGGGCCUCGCACCAUCGGAUGUGCCCAGAUGGGAUUAGCUUGUAGGUGAGGUAAUGGCUCACCUAGGCGACGAUCCCUAGCUGGUCUGAGAGGAUGAC